Molecule: ribosomal RNA, 407 nt
Filed under: uncultured bacterium
Lineage: Bacteria
Description: partial 16S ribosomal RNA
Rfam family: Bacterial small subunit ribosomal RNA
Source: RNAcentral
AUUGAACGCUGGCGGCAGGCCUAACACAUGCAAGUCGAGCGGAGCGGCGGACGGGGGAGUAAUGCCUAGGACUCGGCCUGGUAGUGGGGGAUAACGUUCGGAAACGGGAGCUAAUACCGCAUAAUAUCAGAUACGCCUAGGUCGGGUUAGCUAGUUGGUGGGGUAAAGGCCUACCAAGGCGACGAUCCGUAACUGGUCUGAGAGGAUGAUCAGCCAAACUGGAACUGAGACACGGUCCAGACUCCUACGGGAGGCAGCAGUGGGGAAUAUUGGACAAUGGGCGAAAGCCUGAUCCAGCCAUGCCGCGUGUGUGAAGAAGGUCUUCGGAUUGUAAAGCACUUUAAGUUGGGAGGCGUUACCAACAGAAUAAGCACCGGCUAACUCCGUGCCAGCAGCCGCGGUAAUUC